GAGUUUGAUCGUGGCUCAGAGUGAACGCUGGCGGUAGGCCUAACACAUGCAAGUCGAACGGUAACAGGUCUUUCGGGAUGCUGACGAGUGGCGGACGGGUGAGGAAUACAUCGGAAUCUGCUCAGUCGUGGGGGAUAGCGCAUGGAAACGUGCGCUAAUACCGCAUACGACCUUCGGGUGAAAGCAGGGGAAUCUUUAGGGAUCCUUGCGCGAUUGAAUGAGCCGAUGUCGGAUUAGCUAGUUGGUAGGGUAAAAGCCUACCAAGGCGACGAUCCGUAGCUGGUCUGAGAGGAUGAUCAGCCACACUGGGACUGAGACACGGCCCAGACUCCUGCGGGAGGCAGCAGUGGGGAAUAUUGGACAAUGGGGGCAACCCUGAUCCAGCCAUACCGCGUGGGUGAAGAAGGCCUUCUGGGUUGUAAAGCCCUUUUGUUGGGGAAGAAAAACAACGGGUUAAUACCCCGUUGGUAUGACGGUACCCAAAGAAUAAGCACCGGCUAACUUCGUGCCAGCAGCCGCGGUAAUACGAAGGGUGCAAGCGUUACUCGGAAUUACUGGGCGUAAAGGGUGCGUAGGUGGUUGCGCCAGUCUGUCGUGAAAGCCCAGGGCUUAACCUGGGAAUGGCGAUGGAAACUGUGCAACUAGAGUGUGACAGAGGGUGAUGGAAUUCCUGGUGUAGCAGUGAAAUGCGUAGAGAUCAGGAGGAACAUUCGUGGCGAAGGCGGCCACCUGGGUCAACACUGACACUGAGGCACGAAAGCGUGGGGAGCAAACAGGAUCAGAUACCCUGGUAGUCCACGCCCUAAACGAUGCGAACUGGAUGUUGGGUCCAACUUGGGAUUCAGUAUCGAAGCUAACGCGUUAAGUUCGCCGCCUGGGGAGUACGGUCGCAAGACUGAAACUCAAAGGAAUUGACGGGGGCCCGCACAAGCGGUGGAGUAUGUGGUUUAAUUCGAUGCAACGCGCAGAAC
Molecule: ribosomal RNA, 971 nt
Filed under: uncultured Lysobacterales bacterium
Lineage: Bacteria; Pseudomonadati; Pseudomonadota; Gammaproteobacteria; Lysobacterales
Description: bacterial SSU rRNA
Rfam family: Bacterial small subunit ribosomal RNA
Source: RNAcentral